Molecule: small nucleolar RNA, 78 nt
Rfam family: Small nucleolar RNA snoR122
Source: Rfam
UGCCCAUGAUGCAUCUCAAAUGUACGUAUUAUCAGAUAUAAAUUCUGAUGAAAUCUAAUUGUCACUACCUCUGAGGCA